This 107-nucleotide ribosomal RNA is filed under the name Enterobacter hormaechei. RNAcentral's name for it is "partial 23S ribosomal RNA". It matches the Rfam family "Bacterial large subunit ribosomal RNA", at positions 1 to 98 of the family's 2925-position model. The record is from RNAcentral. Lineage: Bacteria; Pseudomonadati; Pseudomonadota; Gammaproteobacteria; Enterobacterales; Enterobacteriaceae.
GGGUUGUGAGGUUAAGCGACUAAGCGUACACGGUGGAUGCCCUGGCAGUCAGAGGCGAUGAAGGACGUGCUAAUCUGCGAAAAGCGACGGCGAGGUGAUAUGAACCU